Long non-coding RNA from Onychostoma macrolepis, 474 nucleotides. RefSeq lists it as uncharacterized. The record is from RefSeq and is a predicted model, not a curated record. The transcript is spliced from 4 exons. Lineage: Eukaryota; Metazoa; Chordata; Actinopteri; Cypriniformes; Cyprinidae.
ACAGCCCGCGACGCGGUCACGGAAAAUAAUAGCUGACAGGAUGUCGUCAUCUCUAACUGUCACUCGCGCCACAGUUCUCAAGCAAGGGACAAUAAUGGCAUCAGCCAUUCAAGUUAUGAUCCUGGCAGCUCUACUACUAUCUGAAAAGUAGUCUCUGCAGAUAUUGUCAAAAUGCACAAGAUGGAGCGUGGAGAGACAGGACAUGGACCACAGUUUUUCAGCACCCACACCCCACACUCAAAUUCAUAUAGAAGUCCUCAAUUAUUAAAUGUUAAUAUGAUAGUUUAUAUUUAGCUGUGAAGUUAUAGUUCAUUGUCAUAAAUAUUAAACUACAUAUUAUUAUUAUUAUUAUUUUACAUGAUAUGCAAAUUUCACCAAUUUGUUCAAUGUGUUAAUGAACUUUUUGAAAGUGAUUAUCUUUAAUAAUUCAGAUACCUGUUGAAAUGCACAUGUAAUUAUAUACUUGCUUGUAUC